RNAcentral lists this ribosomal RNA (521 nucleotides) under Austruca iranica. RNAcentral describes it as "partial 12S ribosomal RNA". It matches the Rfam family "Bacterial large subunit ribosomal RNA", at positions 1829 to 2605 of the family's 2925-position model. Lineage: Eukaryota; Metazoa; Arthropoda; Malacostraca; Decapoda; Ocypodidae. The record is from RNAcentral. RNAcentral also lists the same sequence under 1 other name.
ACAUGUCUGUUUGGAGGUAUAAAAAGUCUGGCCUGCCCACUGAUUUUUUAAGGGCCGCGGUAAUCUGACCGUGCAAAGGUAGCAUAAUCGUUAGUUUUUUAAUUGGAAUCUUGUAUGAAUGGUUGAACAAGAGAAUAACUGUCUCUAUACUUUUUUGAAUUUAACUUUUAGGUGAAAAGGCUUAAAUACUUUAAAAAGACGAUAAGACCCUGUAAAGCUUGAUAAAUUUUGUUAUUCAAUUAAAUUAAUGUAUAAAAGUUUAGUAGCUAGAUUUAUUUUGUUGGGGCGACAAUGAUAAAAUGUUUUAACUGUUUAUGUUAGGGACAAAAUUAAAUGGUUAGUAAUAUAAAUGAUCCUUCUUAAAGAUUAAAAGUUUAAGUUACUUCAGGGAUAACAGCGUUAUUUUUCUUGAGAGUUCAUAUCGAAAGAAAAGUUUGCGACCUCGAUGUUGAAUUAAAAUGUCUAUAUAAUUGCAGAAGUUAAAUAGAAGGUCUGUUCGACCUUUAAAUUUUUACGUGAUC